CCGCUCCUCUUUUCUCAAUUUGUACCCUUUAUCCUAAAAAAUGCUUUCAGGAGUCACUGAAGCAAGACUUGAAAUAAUGUGACCUUCUGGGUAGUAAUAUUACAGAAAAAAUAAUAAUGAAAAGCACAUCACGUGGCAAUAUCCAAAAUGAGGUUGUCCCUCCACAUUUUAACUUGGAUGGAACAUCAGUGUCUGCUUCCUGAGCAGCUGCUAAGCUGAGGGACUGCAUGACAAACCCUGGCAGUGAGGGGCAGGG
RNAcentral lists this long non-coding RNA (256 nucleotides) under Pan troglodytes (chimpanzee). RNAcentral's name for it is "long non-coding RNA NONPTRT000539". The record is from RNAcentral. Lineage: Eukaryota; Metazoa; Chordata; Mammalia; Primates; Hominidae.